UACGUAGGGGGCUAGCGUUGUCCGGAUUUAUUGGGCGUAAAGCGUGCGCAGGCGGCUUGCUAAGACAGGUGUGAAAGCCCCGAGCUUAACUUGGGAAUGGCGCUUGUGACUGGCAGGCUGGAGUGUGGCGGAGGGAGGUGGAAUUCCACGUGUAGCAGUGAAAUGCGUAGAGAUGUGGAGGAACACCGAUGGCGAAGGCAGCCUCCUGGGCCAACACUGACGCUCAUGCACGAAAGCGUGGGGAGCAAACAGG
Molecule: ribosomal RNA, 253 nt
Filed under: uncultured bacterium
Lineage: Bacteria
Description: partial 16S ribosomal RNA
Rfam family: Bacterial small subunit ribosomal RNA
Source: RNAcentral